UACAGAGGGUGCGAGCGUUGUCCGGAAUCACUGGGCGUAAAGGGCGCGUAGGUGGCGGGCCAAGUCGGUGGUGAAAGCUCGAUGCUUAACAUCGAGUCGGCCAUCGAUACUGGUUUGCUCGAGCACUGUAGGGGCAGAUGGAAUUCCGGGUGUAGCGGUGGAAUGCGUAGAGAUCCGGAAGAACACCGGUGGCGAAGGCGGUCUGCUGGGCAGUUGCUGACACUGAGGCGCGACAGCGUGGGGAGCAAACAGG
This 253-nucleotide ribosomal RNA is filed under the name uncultured Gemmatimonas sp. RNAcentral describes it as "partial 16S ribosomal RNA". It matches the Rfam family "Bacterial small subunit ribosomal RNA", at positions 524 to 776 of the family's 1533-position model. Lineage: Bacteria; Pseudomonadati; Gemmatimonadota; Gemmatimonadia; Gemmatimonadales; Gemmatimonadaceae. The record is from RNAcentral.